GCCGCCGCCGCCUGCGGAGCGGAGCAGGACCCGGGCCCCGUCGCGUCUGGCAGCCACCUGCCAGCACACAGACGGCUCAGGCCCCACCUUUUUUAUUUUUCAUCUUCGGCAACGCCAAGCCCUUUCCAGAUUCAUGCAGGCAAAACCCAAUCGUCCGGCUCCAAAUUGAGACCGAGCAGAGCUCUAGCACUGGAUCACUCGCCGAUUCAAGGGCUGCCGCAGGCCCUUGCGGGGCUUCGAGAGAGGAUGAGAGAAGAAUGUGCAAUAUGAUGCUAUUCUUAGCCAAAGUCUAGAAUGUCUAAUCCAACCUCCGAGUUAACUCAGUAUAAACGGCUGCUUAAGGUGCAGGAAGAACUGCAAGAGGAAGGUUAUUUUCUACAUAACCUAAAUACUCCAGACACCACCUAGAACUGCAUGAAGCCUCAGCAGAUGUCUCGCUGCAAUGUUCCAAAGCUAAGCAAUCCCAGCUGUUCAGGAAAUACCAUUGUAAUGAACACAUUAUUGAACAUGGAAGAAUCAAUCGGGACUCCUGUCAAAGGUUUCACAUGCAGCAAACAGCCCAGAAAUCAAAUUGGUGCUUUAGAAAAGUUCUAUCUUAUGAAGUAAAAGACAUCUCUGCCAUUUUAUGACUUCAUCACCUCCAGCACAAAACAGAAUAUAACUUAAAGGUCAUCGAGCUGAUUUUAAAUGACAAGACACAGUAAAUUGACUAUAUAACUUUAUAUACGCAAAACAGCACACUGCUCCUGGUUCUGAGAAAUUAUGAAAUCCAAGUCAAGUUUUUAUUUUCAACUACAGUGGACUAUCCAUUUCAUUCUACUAAGUUUAUAAGAUAAUGAUGUCUCAGACAGGUUAGACUAUCUCACCCCACUUGCUUUUUGGUUGUUUAGGGGUUUCCUUAUUACUUUGUUUGGCUGACAUUGCUUAAAACAAUUUUCAAAUGUCCAAGUGAAGUGCCUACCACUAUGGUAAUUAAUUAUGGUUAUAGUCAACGGUUUCCUCUGGGCAGGCAUAUUUAGUAUUUUAAUUACUAGUGCAAAAAAAGCCUGUCCAGAAGGCUGGCAGGUUUGUGCUCAUGCUGUACUGUAACAAUUUUACCUUCCUUCCUUGACAUAAACAUUUCCACUGCUGAAUGCCCAUUUCCAGUGUAUCAGUUCUUCCUUGAAAAAGCUCAGAUUUAAAGUUAAUGUUUAGUUCUUUUUCCAUGAAAUUCAUUCCAAAAUCUAGAGGCAAGCUUGCAAUUCAAGGCUCAAAAAUAAAUGGGAUUUCAGAAGUUUAAGAAGAAAAAUUUAAACAAUACUUAACUUGUAUACAAUGGUUAUAUAGUUUUUUCCACUGUUAAAAUGAAUAACAUAGAUGCUCGGCUCCCAUGUCUUUUACAGUCCUCCCAGUUGAAUGCAUUGCAUCAUUCCUUGCAAAUAGGCUAGAACUAGCACACCCUUUGCAAUUAUGUAGAGUUUUCCAGUCUUUGUUCAAUGCCAGAAGUACCGUGCAACUGGAUAUCGCAGUGAUAAACCUGCGUAGCAAGGGAAGGGUGCUGUUUUAUUUCACCACCCUCUUUUUUCUGACUUCCACUGCAAGUACAGAUUAGGAAAAAAUAAACCUACCUAAAAAUACACAAGGAUCUAAAAAACAAAAACAAAAAAC
Alligator sinensis (Chinese alligator) is the source of this 1647-nucleotide long non-coding RNA. RefSeq lists it as uncharacterized. NCBI's taxonomy places the organism in Eukaryota, Metazoa, Chordata, Crocodylia, Alligatoridae. The record is from RefSeq and is a predicted model, not a curated record. The transcript is spliced from 4 exons.